RNAcentral lists this ribosomal RNA (451 nucleotides) under uncultured bacterium. RNAcentral describes it as "partial 16S ribosomal RNA". It matches the Rfam family "Bacterial small subunit ribosomal RNA", at positions 29 to 523 of the family's 1533-position model. The record is from RNAcentral.
AACGAACGCUGGCGGCAUGCCUAACACAUGCAAGUCGAACGAGCACUUUCGGGUGCUAGUGGCGCACGGGUGCGUAACGCGUGGGAAUCUGCCCUGGGGUACGGAAUAACUCAGAGAAAUUUGAGCUAAUACCGUAUGAUGACGUAAGUCCAAAGAUUUAUCGCCCUGAGAUGAGCCCGCGUUGGAUUAGCUAGUUGGUGGGGUAAGAGCCUACCAAGGCGACGAUCCAUAGCUGGUCUGAGAGGAUGAUCAGCCACACUGGGACUGAGACACGGCCCAGAAUCCUACGGGAGGCAGCAGUGGGGAAUAUUAGACAAUGGGCGCAAGCCUGAUCCAGCAAUGCCGCGUGAGUGAUGAAGGCCUUAGGGUUGUAAAGCUCUUUUACCCGGGAAGAUAAUGACUGUACCGGGAGAAUAAGCCCCGGCUAACUCCGUGCCAGCCGCCGCGGUAA